CACUUUGCCGUUUAAACAAAGUGGAAAUAAACGUAUAAAAGUCCAAAUCUACACAAAAUGUGCAAUCAAUUGGUAAGCUGACAUCACAUUUAUAUACAUGGCAUUUAGGAAACCUUUUUUGCAACAUUGGAACAGCAAGAUGUCCAGACUAGUGCAACAGUAUUUUUAAAUUUUUUGGAUCCUGCUGCUUCCAUCGUCAGCUAGGUAAUAUUUUCUUACUAAAGCAGUAAAUGAAACCAGAUGUAUUACCUACCACUCUUUAGUUAGUUUUAUGUUAAGUUAUUUAU
This is a long non-coding RNA of Etheostoma cragini (Arkansas darter), 287 nucleotides long. RefSeq lists it as uncharacterized. NCBI's taxonomy places the organism in Eukaryota, Metazoa, Chordata, Actinopteri, Perciformes, Percidae. The record is from RefSeq and is a predicted model, not a curated record. The transcript has 3 exons.